GUGAACGCUGGCGGUAGGCCUAACACAUGCAAGUCGAACGGCAGCACAGUAAGAGCUUGCUCUUACGGGUGGCGAGUGGCGGACGGGUGAGGAAUACAUCGGAAUCUACUUUUUCGUGGGGGAUAACGUAGGGAAACUUACGCUAAUACCGCAUACGACCUACGGGUGAAAGCAGGGGAUCUUCGGACCUUGCGCGAUUGAAUGAGCCGAUGUCGGAUUAGCUAGUUGGCGGGGUAAAGGCCCACCAAGGCGACGAUCCGUAGCUGGUCUGAGAGGAUGAUCAGCCACACUGGAACUGAGACACGGUCCAGACUCCUACGGGAGGCAGCAGUGGGGAAUAUUGGACAAUGGGCGCAAGCCUGAUCCAGCCAUACCGCGUGGGUGAAGAAGGCCUUCGGGUUGUAAAGCUCUUUUGUUGGGAAAGAAAAGCAGCAGGUUAAUACCCCGCUGUUCUGACGGUACCCAAAGAAUAAGCACCGGCUAACUUCGUG
RNAcentral lists this ribosomal RNA (491 nucleotides) under uncultured bacterium. RNAcentral describes it as "partial 16S ribosomal RNA". It matches the Rfam family "Bacterial small subunit ribosomal RNA", at positions 29 to 507 of the family's 1533-position model. The record is from RNAcentral.